UAGUCCUUUAAGUAAAAGCCGUAAGCUUUCAGCAGUCUUUCCGCAACUGCGAAGCUGGGGAGAUCCCGGCCCGGUCGAUGACGUUGGAUAUCUUUGUCCUCGGCGCUUCUUGGACUAACCUCUCCCCACCAACCCCUCAAUAAAAACGGCUUGACCCUCA
Molecule: long non-coding RNA, 160 nt
Organism: Galeopterus variegatus (Sunda flying lemur)
Lineage: Eukaryota; Metazoa; Chordata; Mammalia; Dermoptera; Cynocephalidae
Exons: 2
Source: RefSeq, a predicted model, not a curated record